UGAUUAUUAUAACGGCGGCCCGCAGUAAAAUACAUAUUAUUAUUAUUAUUAUUAGUACUGUUUUUAUUGUGACCGUGCGCACAGAUCGUUACCACUCCGGAUCGAUGGUGGCGGCGGCAUAGGGAUAAGCGUGAGAUAAACAACAUGUGACAUUAUUGUGCACAUUACAUUCUCGACUGUUGUACGUGCACCGCACGCGGUUAAAACAAUGUAACGCGUUGCCCACCAUUCGAUUUCGUAACAGCCACAGCAGUACAUUACGUAGUGCUCGUUAUGUUAUUGUUUUCUCGAGGAUUGCGAUGCAUAUCAUCAUCGUAUCGAGACCACCGACGCUGCCGUUCGCCUGAAAUCGUUGUCGUUGGACGUCGAACCGACCGCGACCAGAGGUGGCGACGUGCACCUCCUACCAGGACACAUGCACUACCGAAGGAAAUACGUACGGUGCACGUUUUUUUCCGCUCAACGCUGCGCGUUCUCAGGCACCCUUGGGACGACGUAUCUCGGAUGUCUCAUUAACGGAGUUGUAAAAGUAAAUCUAGGGGAGCGCGAACAACUCGUCUUGUCACGGUGGGCGGGUAGUUUAAUCUGAACUGGCCCGUUGAGAUGUUAAUGUUCGUUUCCUCAGGCCGAAAAACCAACGUAGAUAUGCACACAUGUGCACGGGGACUCGCAACAGGAUAGUACAGGGUGUUCCAGGAAAAUGAAAAGUUCGAAAUAAGUAAUGACCGUCGUAGGAGAAGAAAAAAUAAGAUCCUGUAUAAUGAUAAUAUGCGUGUGUUCCGAAGAAAUCGCAAUAUAGAUCACGUCACAAGAAUGAUCGAAGGAAAAGUUAUUCUGUCGACCAUAGUGAAUUGUGUAAAAUUCAAGAAUAGGAAAUUUUGAAUCUCGCUCGACAAUUCCUAAAGUCGUAUAGCGAGUAUACGGCUGGUAUGCAGCAGUCGGCAACCUUUUCGUAGGAAAAAAAACCAUUUAUCUAAAAAGUUACACAACCAUGAUGUUCAGCUAACCAAAUUGGACUAAAUUAUUUUAUUCUUCGUUUACCCUCUCCCCCACCAACCACAAAUCAAAUUUAUUCAAAGUUCCUGUAAGUUUAGUGAACAAAUUGAAAGUAAGCCAAGCAAUUUUACUAAGGUUUGUUAUAGAUUAAGGAUGUAUUAAAAAAAAAAAAAAAAAAAAUGUUAAUUUUAUACAUAUAGAAGAAAACAUUUACGUUCAGGCCUAUUCUAAUGAGCCACGGCUUGUCACUAUGUUUUGGAUAACGUCAGUUGAUAAUUGGCACCCAGGCGAAUCCUGCUUAACGAUACGCAGGUCCUGCACACCAAAGUCGAUCCAAUUAUCUUAUAUCGCGUAUAAUAAUAACAAUAAUGAGUCUCAUCACACAGUCCUGAACUGGAACCGUUAAUCCGUCUUAGUAUUCGGUUUCGUAUAUUAUUAUGUACGUAUUUCGUAGGGUGUUCAAACAUCACUCAAUCCAUUGACAUGGCCCAACGUCCCAAAAUAUUUUACAGUUGAGUUCCGCUGAAUACAUCGUGGUUAUGUACACGAGUGUCUUUAUAUUGUGCUCUACAUUAUACGAUUCGAACAAACCGAGAGAUUAUUUAUUGAUUUCACAAUAAUAUCUCAAUAAGGUUUUCAUCGCGGAUACCAUCUCUCAAGUAUAUACAGGGUCGAAACCCUCAUUAGUAUCUCGUUAAAGCAUGGAAGCUGUACGUGAAAGAUGUUGCCGUAUUUCUCUGCGACGGAACGCAAUAACAAUUUAUCACACGGAACAGUGGAAGGAACAGCAACAAAUUUAUAUCAGAGAUUUGUGAAGCUUAAUAAUAUGUAACUGAUAAUAGCACCGAAAUAAUAUAUGUAUGAGUUACUUGAGGGUGUAUGAUAUUGUUAAAGUUAUCAAUUUCAUUUGUGUUUGAAUGUAGUAGUCAGUAACAGUCGACAGUGUAUAUUUUACAUUGUGUUGACGAACAUUACACAGAUGUUCACAUGUGACACAAGGUACGGAAAAACUUCAAUCAUAUGCUCCAAGUUCUCACUGGUUCAGAUAUCAUUACGAAUUACAACGGAAAUUUUAGAAAAAUAAAAUGUAUUGCAUUUUUCAGACAUUAGAACUAAUAAU
RNAcentral lists this long non-coding RNA (2116 nucleotides) under Sipha flava (yellow sugarcane aphid). RNAcentral's name for it is "uncharacterized LOC112690693". The record is from RNAcentral. Lineage: Eukaryota; Metazoa; Arthropoda; Insecta; Hemiptera; Aphididae.